This is a small nucleolar RNA of Periophthalmus magnuspinnatus, 153 nucleotides long. NCBI's taxonomy places the organism in Eukaryota, Metazoa, Chordata, Actinopteri, Gobiiformes, Gobiidae. The record is from Ensembl.
CGCACUGUUUGGUAUCUGCAGCUAGCAGUGCCAUCUGCUGGUUUGUUCAUAAGUCAGUGCAAGAGAAAUUCAACAUUAGGCAUCGUUGGUCUCCUUGCUGUGGUGUGUGGAGUCCUGGUUAAUGUGUUGAGACACAUUUCUUUUAUAGUAAAA